GACGAACCGUCCUAACGUUGUUCGGAUUCACUGGGCUUAAAGGGCGCGUAGGCGGCUUGCCAAGUCAGGGGUGAAAUCUUUCGGCUUAACCGGAAAAGUGCUUCUGAUACUGGCGAGCUGGAGGGAGGUAGGGGCAGACGGAACUUCCGGUGGAGCGGUGAAAUGCGUAGAUAUCGGAAGGAACGCCGGUGGCGAAAGCGGCGUGCUGGACCCCAUCUGACGCUGAGGCGCGAAAGCCAGGGGAGCAAACGGG
RNAcentral lists this ribosomal RNA (253 nucleotides) under uncultured bacterium. RNAcentral describes it as "partial 16S ribosomal RNA". It matches the Rfam family "Bacterial small subunit ribosomal RNA", at positions 524 to 776 of the family's 1533-position model. The record is from RNAcentral.